UACGGAGGGAGCUAGCGUUGUUCGGAAUUACUGGGCGUAAAGCGCACGUAGGCGGCUUUGUAAGUUAGAGGUGAAAGCCCGGGGCUCAACUCCGGAACUGCCUUUAAGACUGCAUCGCUUGAAUCCAGGAGAGGUGAGCGGAAUUCCGAGUGUAGAGGUGAAAUUCGUAGAUAUUCGGAAGAACACCAGUGGCGAAGGCGGCUCACUGGACUGGUAUUGACGCUGAGGUGCGAAAGCGUGGGGAGCAAACAGG
RNAcentral lists this ribosomal RNA (253 nucleotides) under uncultured bacterium. RNAcentral describes it as "partial 16S ribosomal RNA". It matches the Rfam family "Bacterial small subunit ribosomal RNA", at positions 524 to 776 of the family's 1533-position model. The record is from RNAcentral.